This 269-nucleotide unclassified non-coding RNA is filed under the name Hevea brasiliensis (rubber tree). Lineage: Eukaryota; Viridiplantae; Streptophyta; Magnoliopsida; Malpighiales; Euphorbiaceae. The record is from RNAcentral.
AGAUUAUGUAUUCCUUCAAAUGUUGUAUGACCAAUUUCUUAGAAUAAAAAUUAAGCCUCAAAUUUUGACUCUAUAAAAUUCAAUUUUCAUUCAAAAUAGCAAUUCUAAACAAAAUUAUCAUCUUUUACAUGAAUCCCUCCAACACAAACUCCCUCCAACAAGGGGAAAAAUAUGAAAGCAAAAAUGGGGAAAGAUCUCCAAGGCUCUCGCUCAAGCUUCCCUGUUAUCUCUUUUGAAACCCCACUUCCCUGUUCAUCUCACUCAAGGGA